GCCAGGUAUGGUGGCGCACACCUGUAAUCUCAGGAACUCAGGAGGCUGAGGCAGGAGAUUCACAAGUUCAAGGCCAGCCUUAGCAACUUAGUAAGAUCCUGUCUCAU
RNAcentral lists this small RNA (107 nucleotides) under Marmota monax (woodchuck). The record is from RNAcentral. Lineage: Eukaryota; Metazoa; Chordata; Mammalia; Rodentia; Sciuridae.